AGAGAGGACCUUAAUUCCAGAUC
This 23-nucleotide small nuclear RNA is filed under the name Arabidopsis thaliana (thale cress). Its description in RNAcentral is "snRNA_15389". The record is from RNAcentral. Lineage: Eukaryota; Viridiplantae; Streptophyta; Magnoliopsida; Brassicales; Brassicaceae.